This 85-nucleotide transfer RNA is filed under the name Citrobacter koseri. Its description in RNAcentral is "tRNA-Tyr(gta)". It matches the Rfam family "tRNA". From Rfam's summary of the family: Transfer RNA (tRNA) molecules are approximately 80 nucleotides in length. Their secondary structure includes four short double-helical elements and three loops (D, anti-codon, and T loops). Lineage: Bacteria; Pseudomonadati; Pseudomonadota; Gammaproteobacteria; Enterobacterales; Enterobacteriaceae. The record is from RNAcentral. RNAcentral also lists the same sequence under 93 other names.
GGUGGGGUUCCCGAGUGGCCAAAGGGAGCAGACUGUAAAUCUGCCGUCAUCGACUUCGAAGGUUCGAAUCCUUCCCCCACCACCA